GCGGAAACAAUUCACCUUCUUGUUUAUCCUCCUCUCUCUCUCUCUCUCUCUCCAACUGACGUUUCUCCUGUAUCUUAAAUGCAAGAAAGAAGGAACGAAAGAAUUCGAACCCAAGACCAAAAGGUGAUUUUUCCAACAAGAUAGAGAGCUCGGUAUCUUCCCCGAUUCCUCCAGAGAACCCUUCGAAAUCUCGUCGACCAGCUUCUCUUCUCCCUCCUCUGUUCUCAGGCCGCGGUGAUCGCCGCGCUAUCAGGAAGCUUACUUCUACGGCUUGUUAUUGAGAACCUCAAACUUUUGGGCGAUGAUGGUUUCAAAAUCAUGUGCAAACCUUUUUGAUAUGGGAUCUAAUGAUGCUUUUGACUUCAAUCAGGCUAUCAAAUCACUUCCUAGAGUGAUGACUGCUCCUGGUAUUAUUACGGAUAUAGAUGGGGUUACAAGCAGUGAUGAGGAUUCUAAUACUUCAACGACUUGGGAUCGGAAAAUUAUAGUAGCGAAUUUUCUUCCACUUCAUACUUCAAAGGAUCAAACCAAUGGAAAAUGGUGUUUCGCAUGGGAUGAGGACUCACUUCUGCUGCAACUAAAAGAUGGCUUUUCUGCUGAUACUGAAGUUCUCUACAUAGGUAGUUUAAAGGUUGAUGUAGAUGCUAGCGAGCAAGAAGAGGUUGCCCAAAAGCUCCUUGAGGACUACAGGUGCAUACCCACUUUCCUCUCUCCAGACCUCCAAAAGAAGUUCUAUCAUGGCUUCUGUAAACAGCAACUAUGGCCUCUUUUCCAUUACAUGCUUCCCAUCUGCCUUGACAAGGGUGACCUUUUCGACCGUUCUCUGUUUCAGGCUUAUGUUUCUGCCAAUAAAAUAUUUGCAGACAAGGUUGUGGAGGUUAUCAAUUCAGAUGAGGACUAUGUAUGGGUUCAUGACUAUCACCUUAUGCUUCUCCCCACUUUCUUAAGGAGACGGCUGAACCGAGUGAGGCUUGGUUUCUUUCUCCACAGCCCAUUUCCCUCCUCAGAGAUCUACAGGACACUGCCAGUUAGAGAUGAAAUCCUCAGGGCAUUGCUUAAUGCUGAUCUUAUUGGUUUUCAGACAUUUGAUUAUGCUCGGCAUUUCCUUUCUUGCUGUAGCAGGAUGUUAGGCCUGAACUAUGAAUCUAAGCGUGGUUAUAUUGGAUUGGAAUACUUUGGUCGUACAGUUAACGUCAAGAUUCUCUCAGUGGGUGUUCACAUAGGUCGGCUCCAAUCGUUGUUGAAUUUUCCUGAUACAUUUACCAAGGUUCAAGAGAUUGAGCAGAGAUUCAAGGGAAAAAAAUUGUUAUUAGGUGUAGAUGACAUGGAUAUCUUUAAAGGCAUCAGUCUGAAAUUGCUAGGAUUGGAGCUUUUACUGGAGAGGCAUCCCAAACUAAGAGGAGAGAUAGUCCUUGUACAAAUUGUCAAUCCGGCAAGAAGCAUGGGAAAAGAUGUGAACGAAGCAAGAGAGGAAGCAAUAUCUAUAGCUAAAAGGGUCAACCUUUGCUAUGGUGCUCCUGGCUACGAACCGGUGCUCCUUAUUGACAGCCCUAUACCUUUUUAUGAAAAAAUUGCUUUCUAUGUGGCAGCAGAAUGUUGCAUUGUAAAUGCUGUUAGAGAUGGCAUGAACUUAGUCCCGUAUGAGUACAUAGUCUGCAGACAGGGGACUGAGGAGAUGGAUAAAUGUAGGGGUGUUGGUUUGGAGUUACCUCACACGAGCACGCUUAUUGUUUCUGAGUUCGUUGGUUGCUCUCCUUCUCUUAGUGGGGCUUUCAGGGUCAACCCUUGGAGUGUUGAGGAUGUGGCUGAUGCUUUAUAUCAAGCAACUGACUUGUCAGUAUCUGAGAAGCAGUUGCGCCAUGAAAAACAUUACCGUUAUGUCAGCUCCCAUCAUGUUGCUUAUUGGGCCCGCAGCUUUGCCCAGGAUCUGGAGAGAGCAUGUAAAGAUCACUACAACCGAAGGUGCUGGGCCAUUGGAUUUGGCUUAGGUUUCAGAGUUGUUGCCCUUUCUCCUAGUUUCAGAAAGUUGUCCUUUAAUCACAUUAUUUCUUCAUACAAGAAAACCCAUGGGAGAGCAAUAUUUUUGGAUUAUGAUGGUACCCUUGUGCCAGAAGCAUCUAUUGAUAACACUCCAAGUGCAGAUAUCAUAUCUAUGCUGAACAACUUGUGCAGCGAUCCAAAAAAUACUGUGUUUAUUGUCAGUGGAAGAGGACAGACUUCUCUCGAUGAAUGGUUUGCAUCUUGUGAUGACCUUGGUAUUGCUGCUGAACAUGGCUAUUUCAUUAGAUGGAUGAAAGCCACUGAUUGGGAAUCUAGUUCAAAUGUUGUCGACUCUGACUGGAAGAAGAUUGCAGAACCUGUUAUGAGAUUAUAUACUGAGACAACGGAUGGUUCCUAUAUAGAACCAAAGGAGAGCGCAUUGGUAUGGCACCAUCAGUAUGCAGAUCCUGACUUUGGUUCUUGCCAAGCGAAGGAACUACUGGACCAUCUUGAGAAUGUGCUAGCAAAUGAGCCAGUGGUUGUCAAAAGAGGUCAGCAUAUUGUGGAAGUUAAACCGCAGGGAGUUAGCAAAGGGGUGGUUGUGGAGAAGCUCAUCAGAACAUUGGUCAAUAGUGGGAAGCCACCAGAUUUUGUGAUGUGUAUUGGGGAUGAUCGAUCUGAUGAGGACAUGUUUGAAAGCAUCAAUAGUGCAUCUUCUAGUAAUCUGUUUCCUGCAGUUCCAGAAGUGUUUGCAUGCACGGUUGGACAAAAGCCGAGCAAGGCCAAGUAUUAUCUCGAAGAUACUGGUGAAGUGAUAAGAUUACUGCAGGGCAUUGCUGCCAUUUCAACGAAACAAAAUAAGAUCACCCACAAUCAAGUUUCCUUUGUGAGGCCACAUGAAGCGGAUGAUUAAGCUCAUUUCUCCUUUAGCUACUGGUGACAGCCUGUACAUUCUGAUGGUCUACAUCUUCUGAAAUUCAUAUAUCUUAGCAUAUUCUAAUGUUUGGAGUUGAUAUUCAGGAUACUGACUCUGAUACUUUCGUCCUUACCUGUCAUCACAUUCAUAUGCAUAUGCUUUUGAACAGCAGAGGUAAUGACUGACUUGGAUAUGAUUGAAGGUGCCGACAUUGUAGGCAGUUUUGAAAGUGCAAGGAAUCUUUGAGAUUGUCCGGAUCGUAGUUGCCGUGGCCCUAGUGUCUUGUGAGAUGGAAGUAGAUUUGUUGCAAGAAAAAUGGUACAGCUUAUCUUUGUAAGGACACACUCGACUUCAAUAAAAAUGGUGCAUACAAGCUGGAUAUGUAGUGCAACAGAAUUUCUCUCUCUCAGUGCAGCGGGGUGUUAAAAGAGGUGUGAUCUCUGGUUUUAACUGGAGGGGUGACAGUGGGUCAGGUUCACCAUUUCCUAAUCCAAGUUCAGUAAUGGUCAACCCGAAACCAUUUGUUUCGGGUGGGUUCAGGUUUUGCCAUGCUGUUUGCUGGAAGUAAAAUGAAUGGCUUCACACUGAUUUUAGAAUGUUAGUCUCCAGCGUAAUGUUAAAAGUCUGCACACCUGGCCCUUGAGCAAGUCAUUCUUCGUGCUUUGUAUAGCAUCAGUCCUUGAAUCUUCUUUGCCAGGCUGUGAAUGGGUCCUUUCUUAUUGACGAAUACAGGAUGUUGCUAUGUCUCUGUGCUUUUGAUUUUGUAUACCUUUGGUUUUUCAGACAACCAUUCUUGGAUUUUUAAUGCCA
Phoenix dactylifera (date palm) is the source of this 3706-nucleotide RNA transcript. It is a transcript of the gene named trehalose-phosphatase/synthase 9, with no coding region annotated. NCBI's taxonomy places the organism in Eukaryota, Viridiplantae, Streptophyta, Magnoliopsida, Arecales, Arecaceae. The record is from RefSeq and is a predicted model, not a curated record.